CUAUUUGGAAACAGCCUCUCUACCCUAGGGUAGGGGUAAGGUCUGUGUACAUACUACCCUCCACAUACCCCACUAAGUGGGAUUAUACUGGGUUGUACUUUUUUUUUAUUUUAUUUUCACGGGGCACCCACUCUCGGGUUUUGGGGAGGACGGAAUUGGAAAAGCUGGAGCAUUGUCAGAUGUUAUUGGAUAUUAUUUAGCUGCUACCUUUCAUGAUUUAACCAUCUUACCUUUUUAUCUUCUUUGGCAGUAGCCGACUUGCAAUAUUUCUUCUUGUGGCGUGAUAUGCAGAUGCUAGCAUUGACCAUGCAACAUCAGGUGAAUUUAAAAGAAAUCG
This 337-nucleotide long non-coding RNA is filed under the name Nicotiana benthamiana. Its description in RNAcentral is "long non-coding RNA (NBEN_LNC001935)". The record is from RNAcentral. Lineage: Eukaryota; Viridiplantae; Streptophyta; Magnoliopsida; Solanales; Solanaceae.